Felis catus (domestic cat) is the source of this 3051-nucleotide long non-coding RNA. RefSeq lists it as uncharacterized. The record is from RefSeq and is a predicted model, not a curated record. The transcript is spliced from 2 exons. Lineage: Eukaryota; Metazoa; Chordata; Mammalia; Carnivora; Felidae.
AGACACCAAAUCUGCCAGUGCUUUGAUCUUGGACUUCCCAGCCUCCAGAACUGUGAUAGAUAAGUAAAUGUCUGUUCUUUAUAGACAAUAAUAUGGUCUAUAGUAGCCUAUAAGGACUAAGAAAAUGACCUUUUAUAUCUUUCUGAUAUUUGGAUUUACAAGUCUAUCUUGCUGAGAUCAUGAGUUUUAAAUGCUGGCAAAAUGAGUAAUUUUAUACUUUUAUUUUACAAAACCCUAAGGUAAGUAAGCUAAGAAUGAGUCCACAUAAGGAAAGACUAGUCAAAACGCACUCACAUGACAGACUUCUAGGUUUCAGGACACCACCUCUGCAAUUAGACAGUUCUACAACACAGAAGAACCAGGGGCUUUUUGUGAAAUGAUGGUCUUUACACAGUACAUUUUGGGCAAAGGCCACCGAGCAGCCCACUGCUACCUUUCCUUCCCUGAAUUCUUCAUGUCCCCUUCACAUAUUUGGUGCUGGGCCUUCGCCACACUUUUGCUGUUCUUUCCCUUUUCAUAUGCUGCCCUCCACUCCCUUGCACAGCACCCUGAAUACACAUGAAUACAAAGUAACCAUUCAUGGCUAAUACACAGGCUAUCAUAAGACAAUGCAUUUACAGAACCUUACUCUUUUUUUUCCAUGGUUCUCGUACACCAUCUCAACUGAUGCUAUGUGAGCUCCAACAGUCAUGACCUUCAUUUUCCACAGGAAAGAAACAGAGAACUAGGGGGGAGAUGCAAGAGGCGGCAAUGAAGAAAGAGGAAGAAAAUAUCCUCCAAGAGCUAAGAAAGAAACAUUGUGAAACACCGAACAGGGGAAGCCAAAGAGACAGACAACAGGAGAGAAAACCAGGUUAUAAGAGGAGGACCGGCCCCAGCAAGCCCAACAAGAAACUAGCAAGAGCUCUGAGCUCUGAAAACAUAAAAGACAAACAGGGAGGGGCGCCUAAGAGGCCCAGAAGGUUAAGCACAGCGGACUCUGGGUCUCAGCUCCGGUUCGAGCUCAGGAUCUGGACUUCAAGCCCCGUGUGGGGCUAUGUGUCAGGCUCCACGCUGGGCAUGAAGCCUACUUCCAAAAGACAAAAGGAAAACUGUUGUCAAAGAAUAUGGAGUGAAAUGGGAAAAUGUACACAACGUAUAUUAAAUAAAAAUGUGGUUAUCAGAAAAAAAAUUAAAAAAUAAAAUAAAAAGACGAAAGGACAGAAAGGGAGAAAGCAACUAUCAAUGAAGGAAUACCAAAGACCUCCCAGGACGUGAGCUUCCACAUUCCGGGAUAAGCAGAUGACCUGGCACUGCUAUUUUUCAUCCUAACCUCACGGUGCCGACUGGCUUCCCUUAUAGAGUACAGGCACUACACUGAUAAAAACAAAAGCACUUAAAAUGUGACCCCUUGCUGCCCGGAGAACAUACAGAAUUUAUUCUGACACCACCUUCGGAACAAUACCACUUGCAGGCUGAAGUCACACGCAAGCUCUCCCUUAACCUCUCCUUUUCAAGUCACACUAACUCUGCUUCCGUAAAUCUCCACAAGUGGGUCUUCUUAUUCAACUUUCAGUUUACGCAGUAGACUUCACAGCCUUCAGCCCUGUCUGUACUUGGAAAUGGAAUUCUCAUCAGAGUCUGAUCAGCACCAACAUUAAUCUUCAAGGAGGUGAUAAGAGAGCACUGGCUGUUAUACACCAUACACAUUCGGGAUUUUCACUGUGUCAUCCUCUAUCUUUGUCACAUGGUUUGGGCUGGCUGUGACACCAGAAGCAUUUCCUUUCACACUUCUACGUGCAUAAUUCGACUAUUUUCCACCUGUAUUUGGGUGUUUUUAUUUUUCUACCAACUGCUAUGCAUUCUCUAGGCCUCGGGUGCCCGUGUUUGUUACAGUCUCCCCAUCUCUGUCUCCCUCUUCAGCCCCGUAUUUUCUCCAUUUCCUGAGUGCUUACAUUUGCCAAGUGGAUGGUGCCUUUGAGGACGACUCCAGAGGCAGGGAGCAGACAGAACAAAGAAGGAAAAAUGGCAAGAGACGACAAGGGAUUAAACCGGGACCAUGUAACAGAGAUGUAGAGGGAAGCUUGUAGAACUCUUUAGGUUGUAAACCAGGCAAAACUGAACGGAGACUGUGGAGAACAUCAGGACCAUUCUCUGGCUCUCCAGUCUAGGUAGGAGGGUGAACAACAAAAGACCCAUCGAGAAAGAACAGUCUUUUAUCCACCGAGACAGACGACCGCACUCUUGAUCAGCAGCUGCAGUUAGCACCUCAGUCACAGUGCAAAAGCACCGGGCUUGGAGACAGGAGACUGAGUCUCAAACCCUCAACACUGACAUGACUUGGUCUGUUAAACCAGGGUGAUUCCCCGAAUGCUCUCUUAAGGUUCUGUUUACUCACCUGUGGGGGAACGGUGAAGGUACCGGCUAGGACAUCACAUACCGUGAGUCAGUGACCUCUCAGCCACCAAGCUUUCAGAACAGAGCUUUAUCCAGACCAAUCCGGGGCAACGUGGACGCCCGACGCGGAAGGAGGAGAACGGCGCUACGGCAACAUGCCUCCCUGGGCCUCACUCUGAACCUCCUGGGUUCUGAUUUUCCAUCAGCAGGAAUUCCUAACAACUUGGGUUUCACAAGCCAUGGAGAACAGAAAGCAAAAUCAUAAAGGGUGCAGGAGGAAUUAUCAGAGACACAUACAACAGCCAGGGAAACAACAGCUUAUUACCAAUCCAAGGAGGAAAAAAAAUUCAAAAGGAGGCGUAACGCUCAGCUAUUUCAUGUCAAGGUAGUGGUCCUGAGUCAUCAGAAAAAGAGAUUAAAUUACACUGAGUACCCUCUGAUUAAGAAAAUGUGCAGAAGAAGGUAGAAACUGUAUAACUUAUUUUAUAAAGAUUUCCAUCAAAAACAGUUAGAUUUAGAAGAUUUUAGUCCUUGAAGGUGUAAGAUUCAGUUACCUGGAAAACUAAUUUAUGAUCAGUUACCUGGAAAAUUCCAUCUUAUUCUGGAAAAUGACCAGAUAAAUGGGGUGUCACUGAAUGUGCUACUUCGGUACAAAUAAAUGAAUCAAGCUUAAAA